Molecule: RNA transcript, 1141 nt
Organism: Tribolium castaneum (red flour beetle)
Lineage: Eukaryota; Metazoa; Arthropoda; Insecta; Coleoptera; Tenebrionidae
Exons: 5
Source: RefSeq, a predicted model, not a curated record
UGCGUUUGUUAACGUUAUAGCAUUGACCAUACUUCAGACUUACUACUCUCUUACUAGUUUCAGUACGGUACAAUUUUUAAAAUACGCACCUAUUUAUUUUGGACGCUUUCAUGUAUUAGUAUGUUUGCUUUUCAUCUUGCAUUAUAUAAAUGUUACGGACAAGAAUUUCCAAAAUAUUCCUCGGUGGAGUUACACCACUAUUGGAAGAACGUAUGACAAUGAGGUUAAGAAAAACGCCCUAUAUACUUACAUCUUGGUCGCGUGCAUUGUAAUGGCAGGUUUUGGUAGUAGUGUUCUUUAUGCAAUACCAACGGAGAAAGACAACGAAAUUUUCUUCAUUAUGACUUGGUUUGAAGACAAUUUGUUGGAAUGGGCUGAUAUUUUAUCUUUGUGUCAUCGAAUGAGUUUCCUUUUUGUUUCUGUGAUAAUGCAAGCUCCGUGUUUGCAAAUUUGCUAUAUGAUAAAACAUACUCAGUAUCAAGUAGGCAUCUUGAAAAGCAUCCUAGAAAAUAUACAUCAAGGAUUUGAUAAUUUGGACGAACUUGUUUACGACGAUAAUUUUCACAAAGAAAUAAAAAAAAGAUUAGUGUUUUGUAUUAAACGCCAUAUUAAUAUCACUUUAGUAGGAAGGAAAAUGGUGAGAGAUACUGGUAUUUUUGUGCUUUUUCUUUCCAUUAGUGGGGCAAUGUUGGGUGUAAGUCUAAUGAUGUUUUUCUAUGUGAUUGAGGAUACACCGACUUUUGUGAAUGUCCGUCUUUGUGCUCUGAUUUUUGCGGCUACGAUAACAGGGAUGUUGUAUGUGAUCCAAGGCCAAAACACUGAAGACAUUAGCGAAGAGUGUUUUCAAACUUUGACUGAAAUGGGAUGGUAUUACUGGAAUGAAGAAAAUAAAAGAAUCUAUCAGCUUUUGUUUAUUAACUCUUGUGAACCAUUUUCUAUCAGAUUUUCAGAAAAUAUGGCAGUAAAUUACAAAUUAGGAAUUGAGUUGGCAAAAGCUGUAUACUCUAUGAUGUCAUUUAUGACGUAUGUUUCUAAUUACAUCAAAAAUUAAUUAAACACAAACACUCAUUUUUAUGAUUUCUUGCAACUAAUAUAGCACCUAUGUUGACCUUGGCUUGUAAAAAUAAAAUAAAUUGUCAGC